GCCUCGGUAGCUCAGUUGGUAGAGCAAAGGACUGAAAAUCCUUGUGUCAACAGUUCGAUUCUGUUCUGAGGCACCA
This 76-nucleotide transfer RNA is filed under the name Phascolarctobacterium sp. RNAcentral's name for it is "tRNA-Phe". It matches the Rfam family "tRNA". Rfam says of the family: Transfer RNA (tRNA) molecules are approximately 80 nucleotides in length. Their secondary structure includes four short double-helical elements and three loops (D, anti-codon, and T loops). The record is from RNAcentral. RNAcentral also lists the same sequence under 3 other names. Lineage: Bacteria; Bacillati; Bacillota; Negativicutes; Acidaminococcales; Acidaminococcaceae.